GCGAGUGAAGCGGCAACAGCUCAAAUUUGAAAGCUGGCUUAGGCCCGCAUUGUAAUUUGCAGAGGAUGCUUUUGGUGAGGUGCCUUCCGAGUUCCCUGGAACGGGACGCCAUAGAGGGUGAGAGCCCCGUAUGGAUGGCCACCAAACCUGUGUAAAGCUCCUUCAACGAGUCGAGUAGUUUGGGAAUGCUGCUCUAAAUGGGAGGUAAAUCUCUUCUAAAGCUAAAUACCGGCCAGAGACCGAUAGCGCACAAGUAGAGUGAUCGAAAGAUGAAAAGCACCUUGAAAAGGGGGUUAAACAGUACGUGAAAUUGUUGAAAGGGAAGCGCUUGUGACCAGACUUGCGCCGGGCGGCUCAUCAGGGGUUCUCCCCUGUGCACUCCGCCCGGCUCAGGCCAGCAUCGGUUCUCGUGGGAGGAUAAGAACGGUAGGAACGUGGCCCCCCUCCGGGGGGGUGUUAUAGCCUACCGUACGAUACUCUCGUGGGGACCGAGGUUCGCGCUCCGCAAGGAUGC
This 514-nucleotide ribosomal RNA is filed under the name Cytospora sp. RM-2017f. Its description in RNAcentral is "eukaryotic LSU rRNA". It matches the Rfam family "Eukaryotic large subunit ribosomal RNA", at positions 89 to 626 of the family's 3401-position model. Lineage: Eukaryota; Fungi; Ascomycota; Sordariomycetes; Diaporthales; Cytosporaceae. The record is from RNAcentral.